GGUAUGACAAGCCUGCCAAGGGAAGGAAAAUUAACUGGAUGAAGGGUGGAAUAUUAGAAUCAAACCAUUUGAGAAAACUAACUAUGACGGAAAUCGAUUCAUAACCAUUCAGGAUGGUGUGUGGAAAGCCACACCUUUACUUCUGACAGUGGCAGUUAUUGAGCUCAGUGAUAUUGCAUUCGCAGUGGGUUCCCUUCGUCCCUGUCCAUGUUAGGUGUAAACAUUCAAAGAGCUUGAGGAUUUUGUAGUUAGUAUUUUAGUGAUAAUUUGAAGCCCAUUUUCAGGUUUUGGUGUUACUCGAGACCCUUCCGCAAUUUUCACAUCUAAUUUCUUUGCCAUCUUAGGUAACUCUUGGUCGUCAUUCUUCUGAUUUCUCUCAAUUGUACUUAUAAAUUUCUCCCAUAUUUAUGU
This is a non-coding RNA of Camellia sinensis, 411 nucleotides long. The record is from RefSeq and is a predicted model, not a curated record. NCBI's taxonomy places the organism in Eukaryota, Viridiplantae, Streptophyta, Magnoliopsida, Ericales, Theaceae.